GGCGGGGCGGGCCCGCUGAGCCCCCCGGCACCCGCGGUCGCCCGGAGCCGCGUUGCCCCGCUCCGCAGCCAUCCCGGGGGUGGGGGUAGGGGGUGCGGGUCCGCGCCGGGUCCCUCGCGGGGGCUGCUGAUGCGGGAGGGGGGUGCAAACUUGGGCGGCUCAGUCCCCGGGAAGCGGGGCGAGGGCUUUGCAUGUGCCCGGCUCCGGGGCUUUAGGGGAAACGUGGGGGGCCAGAGCCUGGGGGAGAGGGUUUCCUGCUUUGCGGUUGCCCCCUGCAAUUGAAAAUAACCUUCCGCGGAAGGGGACGCCGGGGAUGGGGGCGGGGAUGGCGGGCAGCACGGGGGGUUGUCUCCAGGUUAAGUUCUCCUUUGUGGGUUGGGGUUCUCCCCCUUCACAAAGAACGCCCCCUUCCCAAAGGUCUGAGCUGGGAAGAGGCUCGCGGGCUGUGGAAAGGGAUGUUUGUCCCCUUCCCGGUUUGCCUCAUCAACAUGACUCUCCUGUGGUUACGUUUUUUCCUUUUUUCUGUUUUGCUUUUGUUUUUUUUUCCAUCUUUUACUUUCUGUCUGCCUCAGUUACUAUAGGGGAAUUUGGAGAAACAGGGGAAGAAUUAGGGAAGUUUGGGGAACAGGCAGGGAAGAAGGUAGGGGUGCUCACCCCUGCCAUGUCUCACCUGACCCUUGGGUCAGGUUUGGGUGCCCCCCCCACCUUCCCGAGGAUGCCCCGGGUCCUGGUACCUUUGUCAUCCCAUCUCUGUAAUGCGAGGCUCCUCUCUGGGGAUGCACGUGGCUUGUACCCUGGCAAGUUUUCCUCUGCGUGUUCACUGCUGCUCCUGGCCCCCGGUCCCGAGUCCACUUUGGGUGGUUUAAUCCCCACUGUCUUGGGCUUUAGCUUCCCUGUAAUGCGAUUUGCCCCUUUGUUUCAGGAGGUCACGUCUGUGUCACACUAUCUUGAUUCUUGGUAAACACAAUAGGCAAAUCUGGACAGCUUUUUCACGCUUUGUGUAGGACUCAGGAGAGAAAAACAGCUUUGGCUCUUUGGAGCUGGUGAUUAGCAUCCAAAAAUACCUCCUUGUCCUGUUUUGUGGUUCAGACUGCCUUUGGAGUGUUGAAAACGUCAUCCCCGGGGGGCUCCAGGGGAAGACUUUCUUUUGGGGGGUAUCAACCAAAUACACCUCAGUUUGUCUCCAGUUUUCAGGCCAGUGGGUUCGGAGUUACUCUCCCACUGGAAGUCAGAAAGAUGAUUUUGCAUUCAGGGUUGGGGGGUGCGGCUGGAGAAUUGGAGAGCAUUUGGAAGGUAGGACUCUGGAAACACCUGUGGAGUGCCGGCUGCCUGUACCAGGUGUAACAGCACCAAGAUUAUCUCUGCAAAGACCCAGAGGGGGAUCUGGUCCAGUGUUGCUGUGAGUUCUGGAGUGUUUGUUUCCUUGUUUAUUUCCUUCUCCCAGGUUACACAGUGGGGGAAAAGUAGGCGACCAUAAAUUAGAUUUUGCAUCGGGAUGUGCUUUAUUGAUGACAACUGGCUGUCGAUGAUUAAUGAGGUUUUCAAAAGCGGGGUAUGUUUCCAGGUGCUCUCUGUGUAUGUAGCUUAAGAAGCUCACCCAGGAAAACCACUUGGGUUUUUUUGGCUUUGGACUAAUUGCUACAGAAAUGAUCAGGUGGUGGUUUUGUUUCAGGACGGUAAUGGCUGGUCUUCACUGGCAGACCCUCCCUCUUCGCCCAGUCUUUGACCUUGCAGAAUUUCCUCUACCUCUUUGCUUCUGGAUUCCUGGAUGCCCCCGUUUUGGGUGGGGGAGGGGGUGUUAGGGGCCUGGAACUAGAGUUGGAGAGCUGGCCACUGCUGCCUGAAAACUUCCAGGUAGCAGGAGAAACCGAAUGGAACAGAAAAAAGGUAGCUUUUGUGUUUUCCAGGGUGGCAUACUCAAGGCCCACCUCCCAGCCAAUUAAACCAUGUGAACUUGGCCAAGCCACUUGACUGUUGUGUGCUCAGGUUCCGCAUCUGUAAAAUGGGGACAGGUUUCAAAAAAAAAAGGGAGGGGGGCUUUUUAGGGUUAUGGUUGUUUGAAGAGAAAAUGAGAUCACCUGGUAAGAGGCCCAGCCUGUGGCCUGAACAGAAUUAAACAGUGCAUUUUAAAAAAUCAUUCUUGCUGAAGAUGAAGCUGUUGGUUUCCAGUUGCUUGUCCUUCCUUUGGACUCACUUUUUCUUCAGUUGGUGGGAAAGGGAUUGGGCUGCUGUCCCUCCCCCCCCCCCCCACGUAUGCCUGGCUUCUCUCUGACCAAGGUCGUGUGUUCAGAAGUUAAAGGGACUGGCCCACGUGAGACUCUUAUCAGAGCUUUGUUCCUGGGCCAGUGCCUGCCUCUGAGCUUCAGGAAAUGUCCAGAAAAACCAGAACGUGGAAGUAGUCCGUGGUGAGGGUUUCACUGUCUUAAUCGCCUUCACGCAGGCAGGUGGUCUGCAGUGAGAGACAAGCAGCUUUGUUCCCCAAAUAGGUGCCAAGUUCAGCAACAUUUGGCUUGUUUUUUCCAUCACCGCUGGCAGGAGGGGGCUGUUUUGUGGUAUUUGUAUUAUGGUUGGGAGAAUGGGCCUGGGCCUCUCCUUUGGUGUUAAGUAUUAAAAAUUACUUAUUAUGCGGGCGCCUGGGUGGCUUAGUGG
Molecule: long non-coding RNA, 2649 nt
Organism: Mustela erminea (ermine)
Lineage: Eukaryota; Metazoa; Chordata; Mammalia; Carnivora; Mustelidae
Exons: 3
Source: RefSeq, a predicted model, not a curated record